RNAcentral lists this ribosomal RNA (449 nucleotides) under uncultured Sphingobacteriales bacterium. RNAcentral's name for it is "bacterial SSU rRNA". It matches the Rfam family "Bacterial small subunit ribosomal RNA", at positions 933 to 1382 of the family's 1533-position model. Lineage: Bacteria; Pseudomonadati; Bacteroidota; Sphingobacteriia; Sphingobacteriales. The record is from RNAcentral.
AGGAGCAUGUGGUUUAAUUCGAUGAUACGCGAGGAACCUUACCUGGGCUCGAACGUAAGAUGACUGUAGGUGAAAGCUUACAUCUCUUCGGAGCAUUUUACGAGGUGCUGCAUGGUUGUCGUCAGCUCGUGCCGUGAGGUGUCGGGUUAAGUCCCAUAACGAGCGCAACCCCUACCUUUAGUUGCCAUCAGGUAAUGGCUGGGGACUCUAAAGGAACUGCCUACGCAAGUAGUGAGGAAGCGGGGAUGACGUCAAAUCAGCACGGCCCUUACGUCCAGGGCUACACACGUGCUACAAUGGCCGAUACAGAGGGCAGCUACCUGGUGACAGGAUGCAAAUCUCCAAAGUCGGUCUCAGUUCGGAUCGGAGUCUGCAACCCGACUCCGUGAAGUUGGAUUCGCUAGUAAUCGCGCAUCAGCCAUGGCGCGGUGAAUACGUUCCCGGGCCUU